CCUACGGGAGGCAGCAGUGAGGAAUAUUGGUCAAUGGGCUUACGCCUGAACCAGCCAAGUCGCGUGAGGGAAGACUGCCCUAUGGGUUGUAAACCUCUUUUGUCAGGGAGCAACGCCGGCUACGUGUAGCCGGACUGAGAGUACCUGAAGAAAAAGCAUCGGCUAACUCCGUGCCAGCAGCCGCGGUAAUACGGAGGAUCCGAGCGUUAUCCGGAUUUAUUGGGUUUAAAGGGAGCGUAGGUGGAUUGUUAAGUCAGUUGUGAAAGUUUGCGGCUCAACCGUAAAAUUGCAGUUGAAACUGGCAGUCUUGAGUGAGUGAGAAGUAUGCGGAAUGCGUGGUGUAGCGGGGAAAGGCAUAGAUAUCACGCAGAACUCCGAUUGCGAAGGCAGCAUACCGGCGCUCAACUGACGCUCAUGCACGAAAGUGUGGGUAUCGAACAGGAUUAGAUACCCCUGUAGUC
This 461-nucleotide ribosomal RNA is filed under the name uncultured bacterium. Its description in RNAcentral is "partial 16S ribosomal RNA". It matches the Rfam family "Bacterial small subunit ribosomal RNA", at positions 338 to 795 of the family's 1533-position model. The record is from RNAcentral.